Molecule: ribosomal RNA, 497 nt
Filed under: uncultured bacterium
Lineage: Bacteria
Description: partial 16S ribosomal RNA
Rfam family: Bacterial small subunit ribosomal RNA
Source: RNAcentral
GAUGAACGCUGGCGGCGUGCCUAAUACAUGCAAGUCGAGCGAACGGACGAGGAGCUUGCUUCUCUGAUGUUAGCGGCGGACGGGUGAGUAACACGUGGAUAACCUACCUAUAAGACUGGGAUAAUUUCGGGAAACCGGAGCUAAUACCGGAUAAUAUUUUGAACCGCAUGGUUCAAAAGUGAAAGACGGUCUUGCUGUCACUUAUAGAUGGAUCCGCGCUGCAUUAGCUAGUUGGUAAGGUAACGGCUUACCAAGGCAACGAUGCAUAGCCGACCUGAGAGGGUGAUCGGCCACACUGGAACUGAGACACGGUCCAGACUCCUACGGGAGGCAGCAGUAGGGAAUCUUCCGCAAUGGGCGAAAGCCUGACGGAGCAACGCCGCGUGAGUGAUGAAGGUCUUCGGAUCGUAAAACUCUGUUAUUAGGGAAGAACAUAUGUGUAAGUAACUGUGCACAUCUUGACGGUACCUAAUCAGAAAGCCACGGCUAACUACGUG